RNAcentral lists this long non-coding RNA (386 nucleotides) under Prunus persica (peach). RNAcentral's name for it is "long non-coding RNA (PPER_LNC007936)". The record is from RNAcentral. Lineage: Eukaryota; Viridiplantae; Streptophyta; Magnoliopsida; Rosales; Rosaceae.
AGAAAUCCUGACGAGUGAACUGAGUAACGUCGCACCCUAUUAAGAAACUCAGUCCAUCCAAGUCUUUCACACCCUGCCCUGCUACUCUACGCAACACAACCCCAUGCACAAUCUGCCCGCUAAACUGAAUCUUAUCUAUAUUCAGAAGAUGGCCAAAGCAUGAUGUCUUGAAUUGUUCUAAUUGUUCGGCACUCAACUUCGCUCGAAUUGUAGCUAGGGAUGGAUUUGCAUGUGAGCAGUUGUUCACUUGUGACGAAUAUGCCUCUGACUCUGGCUAUACCAGCUCCACGUUGGAUCCCAUUUCCUGAAAUACAAGAUGAAAUAACAUGAACACAUAUACUACCACGUAUUUGCACAAUCACAUUGGUAUUUACACAACUAGUCAA